GGUGUUGUGGCUCAGUGGUAGAGUGCUUGCCUAGCAUGUGUGAGGCACUGGGUUUGAUUCUCAGCACCACAU
This 72-nucleotide transfer RNA is filed under the name Marmota marmota marmota (Alpine marmot). It matches the Rfam family "tRNA". From Rfam's summary of the family: Transfer RNA (tRNA) molecules are approximately 80 nucleotides in length. RNAcentral also lists the same sequence under 4 other names. The record is from Rfam by way of RNAcentral. Lineage: Eukaryota; Metazoa; Chordata; Mammalia; Rodentia; Sciuridae.